AACCCUCCUGAACCCUAUAUUAAUUGCAAAGAGGAGAGCACGUUCACAGGCCCUAGCUUCCGCAACAAAUGCAUCUGUAACUUCGGCAUAAGAGUAAAUACAAGCACCCAUAAUUAAACCCUCUUCAUUACAGGCUAGAAAAGCCACAGUAGUGCGAUUAGAAUCGCCUUGAAAAGAGGCGUCAGAAUUAAGUUUAAUAACCCCUGGGUUGGGGGGUCACCACAACUCAUCCACAGAAGGUUUUAGAUUAACUACUGGAACUUUACACAAGCUUAACUCAUAGGCAUAACACUGAACAAACCCCAACAGAUCCUGCUGGGAAAAUUUCAAACCUUCAUGAACCACUUUAUUACGUUUAAACCAAAAGACUUAAAAAGAAAUAGUUAACAACUUUCUUGUAUCUUUAUCAGCUGUUAUAAAAGUGCUCACUAACUGAUUUUUACCAUUCGAGAUAAUCCUGUUGCAAUCGGUCAAAAGAUUCAGAGACUGCCACAGUUGUCGUAGUGCUCCACAACACCACAAUAAAUGGUCAAUAUCUUCUGGCAUCUCUUUGCACAGAGGACAACAUUGUCUACUUACAAUCUUCGUUUGUUUAAGUUACUGUAAUGAGGCACGUAGCUUUGUAAUAGUCGCCACAUGAAUUUUAAGUUUGGAAGGAGUUUGUAAAUCACAGAGCGACUUGUAGAAUUGUUUGUAAAUGUCUGUAGUAGUCGAAUUAUGACCAGUAUAUUGUCUGUCUGCUGUAAGUAAGGCUCGGUAUCCACUCUACACUGAUUACUCCCCAGUGACAUCAUGUCACCAAACCAGCAUGUCUCGCACUCGUGAAUAUGCAAGAGGAAUUUUGAAAAUACAAGCAGCCUGCUUAUGGUCAACAAUCCAACAAAUGACUUCCUUAUUCCAGGUACCCGAACUAACAUCAAUUAAUUGAUUCACUGUAGUCCAUUGAGUACUCAUACUCUAACUGAAACCCUACUACUACUAGGGCCAGGCAACCAAGGAUCAUUCCAAAUACUCACAGCCUCGCCACUACCAAUACACCGAAGUAAACCAUCGAAAAUCAACUCUCAAGCACUACAUAUGCUUCUCCAGGUAAAAGAGGGGUAAGAGCUAACUCUGGUUGACAAAAAUAUCUGAACAAGGAUAAUAACGGGCUUUAAAAACCUUCGCUAAU
Molecule: long non-coding RNA, 1171 nt
Filed under: Gossypium barbadense (sea-island cotton)
Lineage: Eukaryota; Viridiplantae; Streptophyta; Magnoliopsida; Malvales; Malvaceae
Description: long non-coding RNA (GBAR_LNC023458)
Source: RNAcentral